This 253-nucleotide ribosomal RNA is filed under the name uncultured bacterium. RNAcentral describes it as "partial 16S ribosomal RNA". It matches the Rfam family "Bacterial small subunit ribosomal RNA", at positions 524 to 776 of the family's 1533-position model. The record is from RNAcentral.
UACAGAGGGUGCGAGCGUUAAUCGGAAUUACUGGGCGUAAAGAGCGUGUAGGCGGCCAAACAGGUCCGUUGUGAAAACUGGAGGCUCAACCUCCAGACGUCGACGGAAACCGUAUGGCUAGAGUCCGGAAGAGGAGAGUGGAAUUCCUGGUGUAGCGGUGAAAUGCGCAGAUAUCAGGAAGAACACCUAUGGCGAAGGCAGCUCUCUGGGACGGUACUGACGCUGAGACGCGAAAGCGUGGGGAGCGAACAGG